RNAcentral lists this RNase P RNA (313 nucleotides) under Aquimarina hainanensis. RNAcentral describes it as "RNase P RNA component class A". It matches the Rfam family "Bacterial RNase P class A". Rfam says of the family: Ribonuclease P (RNase P) is a ubiquitous endoribonuclease, found in archaea, bacteria and eukarya as well as chloroplasts and mitochondria. Lineage: Bacteria; Pseudomonadati; Bacteroidota; Flavobacteriia; Flavobacteriales; Flavobacteriaceae. The record is from RNAcentral. RNAcentral also lists the same sequence under 1 other name.
CAUGCAGAUCACCUUAUCGCUGUUCUGAUGCUUCAGAAGAGAGGAAAGUCCGGACACCAUAGCGCAGUAUAGCGGGUAACGCCCGUCCGUCGAAAGACGAGGACAAGUGCAACAGAAAGAAUGUACAGGUAAUGCUGUAGUGAAAUCAGGUAAACUCUAUAUGGUGCAACGUCAUGUAUACCGACUUUUAAGGGUUGCGCGCCCGAUGUCGGAGGGUAGGCGGUUGGAGUUAACAAGUAAUUGUUAAUCUAGAUAAAUGAUAAGGAGCUUUAUUAAUAAAGUUACAGAAUCCGGCUUAUGAUCUGCUUUUAUU